RNAcentral lists this ribosomal RNA (435 nucleotides) under uncultured bacterium. RNAcentral's name for it is "partial 16S ribosomal RNA". It matches the Rfam family "Bacterial small subunit ribosomal RNA", at positions 29 to 507 of the family's 1533-position model. The record is from RNAcentral.
AGCGAACGCUGGCGGCAGGCUUAACACAUGCGAGUCGAGCGGGCACUUUCGGGUGUCAGCGGCGGACGGGUGAGUAACGCGUGGGAACGUGCCCUCUGGUUCGGAAUAACUCAGGGAAACUUGAGCUAAUACCGGAUACGCCCUUUUGGGGAAAGGCUUGCUGCCGGAGGAUCGGCCCGCGUCUGAUUAGCUAGUUGGUGAGGUAACGGCUCACCAAGGCGACGAUCAGUAGCUGGCCUGAGAGGAUGAUCAGCCACACUGGGACUGAGACACGGCCCAGACUCCUACGGGAGGCAGCAGUGGGGAAUAUUGGACAAUGGGCGCAAGCCUGAUCCAGCCAUGCCGCGUGAGUGAUGAAGGCCUUAGGGUUGUAAAGCUCUUUUAUCCGGGACGAUAAUGACGGUACCGGAGGAAUAAGCCCCGGCUAACUUCGUG